This 301-nucleotide ribosomal RNA is filed under the name uncultured bacterium. RNAcentral describes it as "partial 16S ribosomal RNA". It matches the Rfam family "Bacterial small subunit ribosomal RNA", at positions 509 to 808 of the family's 1533-position model. The record is from RNAcentral.
CAGCAGCCACGGUAAUACGUAGGGUGCAAGCGUUAAUCGGAAUUACUGGGCGUAAAGCGUGCGCAGGCGGUUAUAUAAGACAGAUGUGAAAUCCCCGGGCUCAACCUGGGAACUGCAUUUGUGACUGUAUAGCUAGAGUACGGCAGAGGGGGAUGGAAUUCCGCGUGUAGCAGUGAAAUGCGUAGAUAUGCGGAGGAACACCGAUGGCGAAGGCAAUCCCCUGGGCCUGUACUGACGCUCAUGCACGAAAGCGUGGGGAGCAAACAGGAUUAGAGACCCCGUAGUCCCUGUCUCUUAUACA